GAUGAAGAACGCAGCGAAAUGCGAUACGUAAUGUGAAUUGCAAAUUCAGUGAAUCAUCGAGUCUUUGAACGCACAUUGCGCCCCCUGGUAUUCCGGGGGGCAUGCCUGUCCGAGCGUCAUUGCUGCCCUCAAGCACGGCUUGUGUGUUGGGCCCCGUCCUCCGAUUCCGGGGACGGGCCCGAAAGGCAGCGGCGGCACCGCGUCCGGUCCUCGAGCGUAUGGGGCUUUGUCACCCGCUCUGUAGGCCCGGCCGGCGCUUGCCGAUCAACCCAAAUUUUUAUCCAGGUUGACCUCGGAUCAGGUAGGGAUACCCGCUGAACUUAAGCAUAUCAAUAAGCGGAGGA
Molecule: unclassified non-coding RNA, 344 nt
Filed under: soil metagenome
Description: partial contains 5.8S ribosomal RNA, internal transcribed spacer 2, and large subunit ribosomal RNA
Rfam family: 5.8S ribosomal RNA (bases 1-119)
Source: RNAcentral